UUCUAAAAUGUCUGCAGCCUUCUGUUUCCUUGCUCCGUGAUCUUCUCUACAGUUGGAAUGGCUCAUUGCCUGUUUAGCCUGAGUGCUUCUGUUUUCUGUCUCCUGUGUAGAGACCUGGCUUAGGCCCUUCAUGGUGGUAUUCGUGACAAUGAAACCAUUUAGGGGAUUCCUCUAGCAACCAUGCAUUAUUGCUCAGCACUCUGCUCUAGUUUUCCUGCUUUGGAAAAGUGUUUCUGCAUAACUUUUAACGUUACUUUAGAAUUCUACAAUGUAGAAACAAGAGGACUUUUGAUGUUAGCCAUAAGAGAAUGAUUGCUCCAGACAUCUGUUUGGUUACAAUGAGCAAAGUGCAAAGCACAGGAAAAAGGGACCGGAAAUGCACACAGCCUGCAUGUUACUGUUGAGAGGCAGAGAUGGGAGCCAGGGAAGACCAAGGUGGCUGGAAUUUGUGAGCAGAACAGCCAAGAGAAGAGAAAGAUGCAGAUAAAGAGUUCUUGCUGUCUGCAGAGCCGACCUCUUGGGUCUUUGGUCAUUGAACUCCAUCACUUUGGGCAAAAACGCUUCCAGAGGAAGAACUAACACUGAGGAGCAGUAGGCUAGCCAUUUCUUGUGCAUCACAAGGCGAGAAUCACUGAGAUUCCACUAGCCAAAAUAUAGACAUCAUUUCAAUCACUAAUCUCACACACCAG
Nannospalax galili (Upper Galilee mountains blind mole rat) is the source of this 689-nucleotide long non-coding RNA. RefSeq lists it as uncharacterized. The record is from RefSeq and is a predicted model, not a curated record. The transcript is spliced from 3 exons. NCBI's taxonomy places the organism in Eukaryota, Metazoa, Chordata, Mammalia, Rodentia, Spalacidae.